GACGAACGCUGGCGGCGCGCCUAACACAUGCAAGUCGAACGGAGUCAAGAGGAGCUUGCUUUUCUUGACUUAGUGGCGAACGGGUGAGUAACGCGUGAGUAACCUGCCCUGGAGUGGGGGACAACAGUUGGAAACGACUGCUAAUACCGCAUAAGCCCACGGAUCCGCAUGGAUCUGCGGGAAAAGGAUUUAUUCGCUUCAGGAUGGACUCGCGUCCAAUUAGCUAGUUGGUGAGGUAACGGCCCACCAAGGCGACGAUUGGUAGCCGGACUGAGAGGUUGACCGGCCACAUUGGGACUGAGACACGGCCCAGACUCCUACGGGAGGCAGCAGUGGGGGAUAUUGCACAAUGGGGGAAACCCUGAUGCAGCGACGCCGCGUGGAGGAAGAAGGUUUUCGGAUUGUAAACUCCUGUCGUUAGGGACGAUAAUGACGGUACCUAACAAGAAAGCACCGGCUAACUACGUG
Molecule: ribosomal RNA, 468 nt
Filed under: uncultured bacterium
Lineage: Bacteria
Description: partial 16S ribosomal RNA
Rfam family: Bacterial small subunit ribosomal RNA
Source: RNAcentral